UAAUACGAAGGGUGCAAGCGUUGCUCGGAAUUAUUGGGCGUAAAGGGUAGGUAGGUUGUCUUGUUUGUCUAAGGUGAAAUCCCACGGCUUAACUGUGGAAGUGCCUUAGAAACGGCAAGACUAGAGUCCUAGAGGGGUUUGUGGAAUUCCCGGUGUAGCGGUGAAAUGCGUAGAGAUCGGGAGGAACACCAGCGGCGAAGGCGGCAAACUGGAUAGGAACUGACACUCAACUACGAAAGCGUGGGGAUCAAACAGGAUUAGAUACCCUGGUAGUCCACGCUGUAAACGAUGGGUACUAGGCUUUGUGGGAAUAGACCCCUGCAGAGCCGGAGCUAACGCAAUAAGUACCCCGCCUGGGAAGUACGGUCGCAAGACUAAAACUCAAAUGAAUUGACGG
This 397-nucleotide ribosomal RNA is filed under the name bacterium enrichment culture. RNAcentral describes it as "bacterial SSU rRNA". It matches the Rfam family "Bacterial small subunit ribosomal RNA", at positions 521 to 916 of the family's 1533-position model. The record is from RNAcentral.